CAGAACUGAAAUUCUGCUAUGUACGGAUGAAAGUGCAAUCUUCCUAGUCACACCUUACAAAUUUGUUGAUCAGCAGUCAUUCUUCUGACAAAAUCAUCUAAAGCAGCUCCAAAUGUCUGAAUAAACCUGAUCAAUGUACAUCAUUAUUUUCAGUGAGAGAACAUCUGUGCAUCUAGUUGCAGCCUAAGCUUCAAAAUAGCCCUGCUCUGCCAACUGGAAAAAAUGGCGGACGACAAGGUCUACAAGGAGAUAGAAACAGUUUGGAUCCAUCUCACUCCAUCUGUUAUGGAGAUCGGAAGAAUCUGCCCUACACCAAUGCUGUGAUUCAUGAGAUUAUACGAAGCAAAUACAUCACAUUCUUUGGAAUACCAAGAAAAUGUGUGAAGGAUGUUUACCUCAAUGGAUUUCUCAUUCCCAAGGGAGCUAUGAUUUUACCAGACCUGCGCUCUGUUCUCCUUGAUCCUGAACAAUGGGAGACGCCUGAAAAAUUCAACCCCAACCAUUUUUUGGACAAAGAAGGACAUUUUGUCAUUAAAGAAGC
This is a long non-coding RNA of Crotalus tigris (Tiger rattlesnake), 541 nucleotides long. RefSeq lists it as uncharacterized. The transcript has 3 exons. NCBI's taxonomy places the organism in Eukaryota, Metazoa, Chordata, Lepidosauria, Squamata, Viperidae. The record is from RefSeq and is a predicted model, not a curated record.